This is a long non-coding RNA of Carassius auratus (goldfish), 965 nucleotides long. RefSeq lists it as uncharacterized. NCBI's taxonomy places the organism in Eukaryota, Metazoa, Chordata, Actinopteri, Cypriniformes, Cyprinidae. The transcript has 2 exons. The record is from RefSeq and is a predicted model, not a curated record.
GGAAGGGUUAUUACCCCUCCUACGUCAUCGUUUAGUGUUUAGCCAAUGGCUAGGCGUCCAGGGUGUAUAAGAGCAUGAGCUACCAGUUCCUUGGCUCCAGUAAUCUGACUGAUCUGUAUUAGUAUUGUAUGAUCUAUCUGUGCUUCAUGCCAACGAGUUUAUCAGAGACUUUCGGCUCCAUCUACUGCAUAGUUUGGGGAUAGUUAUUCUGAGACCGCAUGCUUUGUAUGUAUACUGUUCGAGCGUAAGCCAAGAGAAAAGAACUCUGUGUAACACUUUCUGUUUGUUUUUAGGCAUGCGCUAAGGACAGUACCGACUUUCUGAAUGAGCAUUAUCUGCUCUGUGCUUCAUCAUAAGGCUUUAUUCGUGCUGGGCCUCAUCAGCUGCUGUUCUGUUUUGGGUUGUUUUGUCUAGUUUUUGGUGUGCUGUUCUGUCAUGAGCGAGUCGUCUCAAUUGAACAGCUGAUCGAAUCGUCUUGGGUGAACCGUUCUAAGGCCUGGGCACCUGGGGGCAGACGCGUGACCAAUUAGGUGGUAGGGUCUUCACUGUAGUCGUGGUCUUCUCUGACAUGAGUCGUGGAGUGUGUGCUGUGCUGGUGUGUGUGCACUGAAUGGGCUGCUCUUCGUAGAGGUGAUAUCUUGAGAGUGCCCUUGGGUACGCCCAGGAUCCUCUGCAGCCAUCGUUAGAAAUUAAUAAAUUGAAGAGAGAUUGCUGGUCAACACCUUUUGUACAAAAUUCCCUGCUUUACGCAUGCGCGAGUCCAGACUUGUCCAGACUUGUCUGGUGCAUGCGCAAAAGUUUUCAGUUAGACGCUACUGUCCAGCAUAAUAGUUUGAUACGGAGUUUCCCUGGCUUUAUUCCUUUAAAGUCUGUUUUUCCUUUGUGUGGUAUUGCUGUGCGUUUAUAACUCCAAACCACAUUUUGUGCAUAUUCACACAAAUAAACAUUCAGACUUGACAUGUUCA